This 425-nucleotide ribosomal RNA is filed under the name uncultured bacterium. RNAcentral describes it as "partial 16S ribosomal RNA". It matches the Rfam family "Bacterial small subunit ribosomal RNA", at positions 354 to 796 of the family's 1533-position model. The record is from RNAcentral.
GUGGGGAAUAUUGGACAAUGGACGCAAGUCUGAUCCAGCAAUGCCGCGUGAGUGAUGAAGGCCUUAGGGUUGUAAAGCUCUUUUACCAGGGAUGAUAAUGACAGUACCUGGAGAAUAAGCUCCGGCUAACUCCGUGCCAGCAGCCGCGGUAAUACGGAGGGAGCUAGCGUUGUUCGGAAUUACUGGGCGUAAAGCGCACGUAGGCGGUUACUCAAGUCAGAGGUGAAAGCCCGGGGCUCAAUCCCGGAACUGCCUUUGAAACUAGGUAGCUAGAAUCCUGGAGAGGUGAGUGGAAUUCAGAGUGUAGAGGUGAAAUUCGUAGAUAUUCGGAAGAACACCAGUGGCGAAGGCGGCUCACUGGACAGGUAUUGACGCUGAGGUGCGAAAGCGUGGGGAGCAAACAGGAUUAGAAACCCCGGUAGUCC